This 2921-nucleotide ribosomal RNA is filed under the name Pasteurellaceae bacterium Orientalotternb1. Its description in RNAcentral is "23S ribosomal RNA". It matches the Rfam family "Bacterial large subunit ribosomal RNA". The record is from RNAcentral. Lineage: Bacteria; Pseudomonadati; Pseudomonadota; Gammaproteobacteria; Pasteurellales; Pasteurellaceae.
GUUGUAUGGUUAAGUGACUAAGCGUACACGGUGGAUGCCUAGGCAAUCAGAGGCGAAGAAGGACGUGCUAAUCUGCGAAAAGCUUGGAUGAGUUGAUAAGAAGCGUUUAAUCCAAGAUAUCCGAAUGGGGAAACCCGAUAGGCGAAGAGCCUAUCAUCAUUACUUGAAUCCAUAGAGUAAUGAAGCAAACCGGGAGAACUGAAACAUCUAAGUACCCCGAGGAAAAGAAAUCAACCGAGAUUUCGUUAGUAGCGGCGAGCGAACGCGAAGGAGCCGCAAGUGAUAGCACAACAUUUAGGAGAAUGAGCUGGGAAGCUCAAUCGUAGAGGGUGAUAAUCCCGUAUCCCAAAAAUAGUGUGUGGUACUAGGCUUGCAAGAAGUAAGGCGGGACACGUGAUAUCCUGUCUGAAGAUGGGGGGACCAUCCUCCAAGGCUAAAUACUCCUGAUUGACCGAUAGUGAACCAGUACUGUGAAGGAAAGGCGAAAAGAACCCCAGUGAGGGGAGUGAAAUAGAACCUGAAACCGUGUACGUACAAGCAGUGGGAGCCCGAAAGGGUGACUGCGUACCUUUUGUAUAAUGGGUCAGCGACUUAUAUUUUGUAGCGAGGUUAACCGAAUAGGGGAGCCGUAGGGAAACCGAGUCUUAACUGGGCGUUAGAGUUGCAAGGUAUAGACCCGAAACCCGGUGAUCUAGCCAUGGGCAGGUUGAAGGUUGGGUAACACUAACUGGAGGACCGAACCGACUAAUGUUGAAAAAUUAGCGGAUGACUUGUGGCUGGGGGUGAAAGGCCAAUCAAACCGGGAGAUAGCUGGUUCUCCCCGAAAUCUAUUUAGGUAGAGCCUUAUGUGAAUACCUUCGGGGGUAGAGCACUGUUUCGGCUAGGGGUCCAUCCCGGAUUACCAACCCGAUGCAAACUGCGAAUACCGAAGAGUAAUGCAUAGGAGACACACGGCGGGUGCUAACGUUCGUCGUGGAGAGGGAAACAACCCAGACCGCCAGCUAAGGUCCCGAAGUCUAUAUUAAGUGGGAAACGAAGUGGGAAGGCUUAGACAGCUAGGAUGUUGGCUUAGAAGCAGCCAUCAUUUAAAGAAAGCGUAAUAGCUCACUAGUCGAGUCGGCCUGCGCGGAAGAUGUAACGGGGCUCAAAUAUAGCACCGAAGCUGCGGCAUCAGGAUUUAUCCUGUUGGGUAGGGGAGCGUCGUGUAAGCGGAUGAAGGUGAACCGAGAGGUUUGCUGGACGUAUCACGAGUGCGAAUGCUGACAUAAGUAACGAUAAAACGAGUGAAAAACUCGUUCGCCGGAAGACCAAGGGUUCCUGUCCAACGUUAAUCGGGGCAGGGUGAGUCGGCCCCUAAGGCGAGGCUGAAAAGCGUAGUCGAUGGGAAACGGGUUAAUAUUCCCGUACUUGUCUUCAUUGCGAUGUGGGGACGGAGAAGGUUAGGUAAGCAGACUGUUGGAUAUGUCUGUUUAAGUAGGUAGGUGGGAAGAUUAGGCAAAUCCGGUCUUCCAUUCAACACCGAGAAAUGAUGACGAGGCUCUACGGAGCUGAAGUUACCGAUACCACGCUUCCAGGAAAAGCCACUAAGCUUCAGAUGAAGAUAAACCGUACUGAAAACCGACACAGGUGGUCAGGUAGAGAAUACUCAGGCGCUUGAGAGAACUCGGGUGAAGGAACUAGGCAAAAUAGCACCGUAACUUCGGGAGAAGGUGCGCUGGCGUAGGUUGUAGUGUCUCGCACACGAAGGCUGAACCAGUCGAAGAUACCAGCUGGCUGCAACUGUUUAUUAAAAACACAGCACUCUGCAAACACGAAAGUGGACGUAUAGGGUGUGAUGCCUGCCCGGUGCUGGAAGGUUAAUUAAUGGUGUUAUCGAAAGAGAAGCUCCUGAUCGAAGCCCCAGUAAACGGCGGCCGUAACUAUAACGGUCCUAAGGUAGCGAAAUUCCUUGUCGGGUAAGUUCCGACCUGCACGAAUGGCAUAAUGAUGGCCAGGCUGUCUCCACCCGAGACUCAGUGAAAUUGAAAUCGCCGUGAAGAUGCGGUGUACCCGCGGCUAGACGGAAAGACCCCGUGAACCUUUACUAUAGCUUGACACUGAACAUUGAAUUUUGAUGUGUAGGAUAGGUGGGAGACUUUGAAGCAGGCACGCCAGUGCUUGUGGAGUCGACCUUGAAAUACCACCCUUUAACGUUUGAUGUUCUAACGAAGAUUACGAAACGUGGUCUCGGACAGUGUCUGGUGGGUAGUUUGACUGGGGCGGUCUCCUCCCAAAGCGUAACGGAGGAGCACGAAGGUUUGCUAAUGACGGUCGGACAUCGUCAGGUUAGUGCAAUGGUAGAAGCAAGCUUAACUGCGAGACAGACAAGUCGAGCAGGUGCGAAAGCAGGUCAUAGUGAUCCGGUGGUUCUGAAUGGAAGGGCCAUCGCUCAACGGAUAAAAGGUACUCCGGGGAUAACAGGCUGAUACCGCCCAAGAGUUCAUAUCGACGGCGGUGUUUGGCACCUCGAUGUCGGCUCAUCACAUCCUGGGGCUGAAGUAGGUCCCAAGGGUAUGGCUGUUCGCCAUUUAAAGUGGUACGCGAGCUGGGUUUAGAACGUCGUGAGACAGUUCGGUCCCUAUCUGCCGUGGGCGUUGGAGAAUUGAGAGGGGCUGCUCCUAGUACGAGAGGACCGGAGUGGACGCACCACUGGUGUUUCGGUUGUGUCGCCAGACGCAUUGCCGAGUAGCUACGUGCGGAAGAGAUAAGUGCUGAAAGCAUCUAAGCACGAAACUUGCCUUAAGAUGAGUUCUCCCUGGCUUUAAGUCAGUAAGGGUUGUUGUAGACGACGACGUAGAUAGGUGGGGUGUGUAAGCGUAGUGAUACGUUGAGCUAACCCAUACUAAUUGCCCGAGAGGCUUAACCAUACAACCUCAAGCGUU